GGCAGAAUGAUGAGUCGCUCGCAAUGGGUGACAAUAAGCCGAGUGUUAGCGAAUUACGGUUCGUGAUGAUCAUUUACUCAAAAGCGAUCUUGUGACCUGACUGCA
This 105-nucleotide small nucleolar RNA is filed under the name Caenorhabditis japonica. RNAcentral's name for it is "snoRNA CJA48614". It matches the Rfam family "Caenorhabditis snoRNA ceN69". Lineage: Eukaryota; Metazoa; Nematoda; Chromadorea; Rhabditida; Rhabditidae. The record is from Rfam by way of RNAcentral.